CACGUAGGGUGCGAGCGUUGUCCGGAAUUAUUGGGCGUAAAGAGCUCGUAGGCGGCUUGUCGCGUCAACUGUGAAAACCCGUGGCUCAACCAUGUGGUCUGCAGUCGAUACGGGCAGGCUAGAAUUCGGUAGGGGAGACUGGAAUUCCUGGUGUAGCGGUGAAAUGCGCAGAUAUCAGGAGGAACACCGGUGGCGAAGGCGGGUCUCUGGGCAUUAACUGACGCUGAGGAGCGAAAGCAUGGGGAGCGAACAGG
RNAcentral lists this ribosomal RNA (254 nucleotides) under uncultured bacterium. RNAcentral describes it as "partial 16S ribosomal RNA". It matches the Rfam family "Bacterial small subunit ribosomal RNA", at positions 524 to 776 of the family's 1533-position model. The record is from RNAcentral.